GACGAACGCUGGCGGCGUGCUUAACACAUGCAAGUCGAACGGAAAGGCCCUGCUUUUGUGGGGUGCUCGAGUGGCGAACGGGUGAGUAACACGUGAGUAACCUGCCCUUGACUUUGGGAUGACUUCAGGAAACUGGGGCUAAUACCGGAUAGGAGCUCCUGCUGCAUGGUGGGGGUUGGAAAGUUUCGGCGGUUGGGGAUGGACUCGCGGCUUAUCAGCUUGUUGGUGGGGUAGUGGCUUACCAAGGCUUUGACGGGUAGCCGGCCUGAGAGGGUGACCGGCCACAUUGGGACUGAGAUACGGCCCAGACUCCUACGGGAGGCGGCAGUGGGGAAUAUUGCACAAUGGGCGGAAGCCUGAUGCAGCAACGCCGCGUGCGGGAUGACGGCCUUCGGGUUGUAAACCGCUUUCGCCUGUGACGAAGCGUGAGUGACGGUAAUGGGUAAAGAAGCACCGGCUAACUACGUGCCAGCAGCCGCGGUGAUACGUAGGGUGCGAGCGUUGUCCGGAUUUAUUGGGCGUAAAGGGCUCGUAGGUGGUUGAUCGCGUCGGAAGUGUAAUCUUGGGGCUUAACCCUGAGCGUGCUUUCGAUACGGGUUGACUUGAGGAAGGUAGGGGAGAAUGGAAUUCCUGGUGGAGCGGUGGAAUGCGCAGAUAUCAGGAGGAACACCAGUGGCGAAGGCGGUUCUCUGGGCCUUUCCUGACGCUGAGGAGCGAAAGCGUGGGGAGCGAACAGGCUUAGAUACCCUGGUAGUCCACGCUGUAAACGGUGGGUACUAGGUGUGGGGUCCAUUCCACGGGUUCCGUGCCGUAGCUAACGCUUUAAGUACCCCGCCUGGGGAGUACGGCCGCAAGGCUAAAACUCAAAGGAAUUGACGGGGCCCCGCACAAGCGGCGGAGCAUGCGGAUUAAUUCGAUGCAACGCGUAGAACCUUACCUGGGUUUGACAUGGAUCGGGAGUGCUCAGAGAUGGGUGUGCCUCUUUUGGGGUCGGUUCACAGGUGGUGCAUGGCUGUCGUCAGCUCGUGUCGUGAGAUGUUGGGUUAAGUCCCGCAACGAGCGCAACCCUUGUUCACUGUUGCCAGCACGUUAUGGUGGGGACUCAGUGGAGACCGCCGGGGUCAACUCGGAGGAAGGUGGGGAUGACGCCAAGUCAUCAUGCCCCUUAUGUCCAGGGCUUCACGCAUGCUACAAUGGCUGGUACAGAGAGUGGCGAGCCUGUGAGGGUGAGCGAAUCUCGGAAAGCCGGUCUCAGUUCGGAUUGGGGUCUGCAACUCGACCUCAUGAAGUCGGAGUCGCUAGUAAUCGCAGAUCAGCAACGCUGCGGUGAAUACGUUCCCGGGGCU
This 1346-nucleotide ribosomal RNA is filed under the name uncultured bacterium. RNAcentral's name for it is "partial 16S ribosomal RNA". It matches the Rfam family "Bacterial small subunit ribosomal RNA", at positions 28 to 1381 of the family's 1533-position model. The record is from RNAcentral.